CCUACGGGAGGCAGCAGUGAGGAAUAUUGGUCAAUGGGCUUACGCCUGAACCAGCCAAGUCGCGUGAGGGAAGACUGCCCUAUGGGUUGUAAACCUCUUUUGUCAGGGAGCAAUUGGCGCUACGUGUAGCGUUAUCGAGAGUACCUGAAGAAAAAGCAUCGGCUAACUCCGUGCCAGCAGCCGCGGUAAUACGGAGGAUGCGAGCGUUAUCCGGAUUUAUUGGGUUUAAAGGGUGCGCAGGCGGAAGAUCAAGUCAGCGGUAAAAUUGAGAGGCUCAACCUCUUCGAGCCGUUGAAACUGGUGUUCUUGAGUGAGUGAGAAGUAUGCGGAAUGCGUGGUGUAGCGGUGAAAUGCAUAGAUAUCACGCAGAACUCCGAUUGCGAAGGCAGCAUACCGGCGCUCAACUGACGCUCAUGCACGAAAGUGUGGGUAUCGAACAGGAUUAGAUACCCCUGUAGUC
This 460-nucleotide ribosomal RNA is filed under the name uncultured bacterium. RNAcentral describes it as "partial 16S ribosomal RNA". It matches the Rfam family "Bacterial small subunit ribosomal RNA", at positions 338 to 795 of the family's 1533-position model. The record is from RNAcentral.